This is a long non-coding RNA of Argiope bruennichi, 4330 nucleotides long. RefSeq lists it as uncharacterized. NCBI's taxonomy places the organism in Eukaryota, Metazoa, Arthropoda, Arachnida, Araneae, Araneidae. The transcript has 3 exons. The record is from RefSeq and is a predicted model, not a curated record.
CCGCGAAUAGGCAUUACCACGCAAGACCCGGGGCCUUUUCAGUUCAUUCGGCAGCCGGGAGACUUCACAGGAAUCUCGUCCGCAGAAGGUUUUCUCUGCUGAGCAAGAGCGUGAAUUCCCGCUGCAGUAAUUUGAUGAUGUUUUCAUUCAAUUAUAUUCUUUUACAUGUUAAAAUGAAAUUAAUACUUCACUUCAUGAACACUUCAGCUGAAAAAAGAUUUAUCGAACAUACAUGCGCUGUUUCCACCAGAGACCUUGGAAAAAUCUGGAUUGAUUUCCCUCCAUGUUUGUUGAGUUUAUAAAAUGAUAUCUCAAGAAUCUGGCUAUCACCACGGAAUAGGAUUCCGGCUAACAGACCUAUUUCAAAUGAAUGUUCAAGAAAUAAUUUUGUACAAUUCUACUCUUUGUUUUCAAUUUUCUUAUAUUAAAACCAUAGUACGAGUUGUUGAAUUUCCACUAAUAUAAAUUUGCUCCGUUUGUUCUUUUUUUCCUACGUUGUUCCUCAUAUUUGAUCUUUUUUUUUAAGAGGCCAGAUUAUUUUUUUAAUUAUAAAAUAUUUUACAAUCCUUUCUGAAAAUUCAUUUAUUAAAAAAAAUCAUUUAAAUCCAUUUUGUUUAAAUAUAUUUUAUGAAGGCGGGACUUCAUUAUUGGGAACAGCACAGACUAAGCCGAGUAGACGAGAAAACGCAUAAACAUGGAUUUUUAUGUUUUAUUAAAUAAAUAAAAGUAGAAAUGAUAAAUGAGUAAGAGUUUUCAUAUUAUUAAAUAUAUUUUGCCAAAUUUUUACUCUUCUAGGACUGAACCAAUAAUUUUCAUUUUGAAUGAUGAUAUCAUAAGAGCGGAGAUACACUUUUUUUUUUUUUCAAAAUUUAGAUUUCAAUAGAAGCAAAGUCUUUUUUGAGGCAGCUUUAAAAUAUUUGAUAAAUAAGUAUUGUAACUAAAUUGUACCUAAUAAAAGCUACAUAACAUUUAUCUGAUGCAUCGUCAUUUAUCUUCAAUUUUGUUUUAAAUUCAGUUUUUUUCUUUUAGCUAAAGAUUUCAUGAAAUUCAUUAAAAAAAGAUUUUUCAAUAAAAAUGGAAUAAUGAAUAAAUUUUUAAAUAUUUUCUAAUUUCAAGUGUAAAUAAAAAACUAUUUGUUCUUGCUACACUUAGUUAAAACGCCAAAAAACUGUAACAGCUCUAUAAUUUUUUGGUAAUUGUAAAGGCUGUUAUAAGAUAAAUCUUUACUAAUACAUAAAAAUAUUUAAUGGAAAAUGGUAUUGAGAAUGAAAAAUAAAUUGAAAAAUAAGUUUUACAAUUCUCAAAAUAUUUAGUCUUUAUUCGCUGGAUUGGAAAUUUUUUUCUUUAGAAUAUUUCCUUAUCGGAAAUUAUCAGGCAGUAAUAAAUUAUUCUUUGUUUCAAGCCAAGUUUCUUCUGGAGUAGCCAGCAUGCAACUAGACCAAGAUAAAUUUUUCUAUAAAUUCUUAGGAAAUGUAAAUCUUGGGUGCAUCCCUUUUCCCUUCCUAAUUUCCAAAAAAAAUCUUUUUUAUUCUUUGUAAUUUAAUCUUUGUAUAAAAAGAUUUAAGCAGCAAAGUUCGAUAGGUUUAACUAACAAAAUUCUGCGCUUUGUAGCAGCUUUUCGUUUGUAUUUAUCUUAGGUAUAAAACAAUUGAAAACGUAAAUUUAAAAGUAAUUCUAUACAAAAUUGAAGAGAAUGACAUUAUUUUUAACACAAUAAUAAUAAUAUUUAUUAUAAGAUGAUCAUUAAUUCCUUUUUAAGUAGAAAACAAUAUAUUUAAAGAAUAAUGAAACAACAUAAUAUAAAAACUGACAAAAGUAAUCAAUUAAGAAUAUUGUUAGAACUGUGUUACAAUAUUUCAACGAUAGUUGAUUUUAAUUUGAGUAAGAUCGAUUACAAAGGAAAUUUCUAUUUCUAUAGAGUUCUAUAGAGAAAAAUAAAUUUACUUUGAAAAUGCUGAAAAAAAUAUCUAAACCUCUAAGUAGUUGCUUAUUUUACAAAUUUAAUAAUACAGCAUUUUAUGGAGUUGUUCAAAUACAAAUAUUGAUACCCCAUGAAAUAUGACAUAUGAAGUAAUGAAAUUAACGUAAACCUCAAGAGAUGUCUUCACAAACACAAUUUUUAGAUUUGGAAAUAAUAAAAUUUUGUUGAUAGUUCUUGCAAUAUCUUUCACUUAAAUAUUAAGAUGUAACUUCAUAUCAUAAUGUACCAGUGUAUUAUCACAGUGUGUUGUCCCUGCAUAUUUUGUACAAAAGGAAAAUAUAUUUCAAGUAAAACCUCUGCCUAAAAAUGUAUCAAUUGCUAAAAUCUUUGAUAGUUACUGAUGGAUUGGCAGAUUAAAUUUGAAAUGCGGUAAAAAAUUUCAAUCCAACUGCAUUCAAAGAAAUGAAGGACCAGCAAAAAUACAAAGCACAAUAGAAAUGAAACGUAAUAAUAAUAUAAUUUAAAAUUACCAUACAUUACCUUUCAUUUUCGGGUUGUCAGAUUGUAACUUUGAUAUCUCUAGCACUUGUAAUUCACUCUAGGUCAUUACUAAAGGGAUAAAAAAAUGCUCUUUCUGUUGAAAUGAAUUCUUUUUAUGAGAUUGUUUCUAUUAGUUAGUUAAGAUGCAACGAACUUUUAAUUUCUUUUCAUCUUUAUAUUUUAAUAAAGUGAUUGUUAAAUCAUUAUUUGUUUAUUCUUUUGGUUAUCUUAAUGGAUAUGAUUGCCAAUUAGUUUUUUAAUUUCAAAAAAUGUGCCUUUGUAUAUUAAAAUAAAAAUCUCUUGGCAAUUUCUGCAUGUAAAAUAUAUUUGAAUAUCGCUGCACUAUUAAAUGAAAUAUGAACUAUAGUGAUUAUCCAUGUACUUAUUGUUGUAAAUAAUGUCAUAUUGUUAUAUGAGAAAACAAUUUAUGUACUGAAAAUUUUAAGUUCUCUGAUUUCCAUAUAGGAAGCACAAUUUUAAUUGUGUAUGAGGCAACAUAGCCGAGUCGUUAAUGUAGUAACAUAUUUUUUCUUAUAUUCUGUUAACUUGAUGAAGUUGUUACGCGUAUGUUUAUGUUCAUACAAACUGUUACAUACCACCUGUCUGGUUAUAAUGCUCUUUUAAUACUGUAAUUUAAUAAUUUUUGUAUUUUUAUGCAAUAGUGUUAUAAAUUAUUGCCUUUGAUGCCAAAAAAGAAGUGUUGUGAUUUUUUUGCCAUUUACUUUGAUUUUAUUCAAGCUUAAAUCAGACUUUCAAGUAUAAUUAAAACAUUGAACAAUGCAGAAGAUGGAAACUUGUGGAACACUCACAUAUCAUUUCAGAAACUUCUAAAAACAAUUCGUUCAAAAAGCAUUCCAUAGCAAACAUCCAGUGGUUAUCUGUUUACAUUUUCAGAGUAUAUUCAAAUUCAUUCCCUUUAAAAUUUCAAAGAGUUUUUGAAACAAUCUUGCAAGCAAUCACCACCAUAAUUAUUAUUAUAUGAAAUCCAAGAAAUAACAGUUGAGAUUUAUCUUCUCGAUUUAUUUUCGCGAACUCUAAUAAAGGUUGCAUAGCUUAAAAUCGAGGAAUUUGGACAUUAAUGUGAACGCUAUGAGUGAUCAGAAAUUUUUUUCGGAUUCCUAAUUAUGGUAGUAUGUAUUGACUUGUAUGUAUGUAAGUAUUUUCAGAUUCCUAAACAUUGUAGUCCCCAGAGCAUCGGGCUUCAAAGUAUUUGAAAGAAAACUGAAUGUAAAGGAAUGUCUUUGGCGACCAUCUGAUUCGCCAAAACUGAUGGGCUUUGUAUGCAUGUGUGUGUAUUUCUAAUAUAGCAGUGUAAUAGAAUUUUUUUUUUUUUUUUUUUUUUUUUGCUAGAAUUUUUCAGUCUGGAAAAAUAAAGAAUCUCACUAAUUUUAAUAAUUUAAAUUGUAUAUAACAUUAGCAUACUCACAUAAAUACACAUUUCAGUAGUAAAAAUGAAUGAGAAUCAUAUUUUUAUUUCAAGAGAGAAACAAUCUAGAAAUUUAGAAUAAUGUUUAAAUGUAUUUUUAUCUUCCCAGUAAAAAAAAAAAGAAAAAAAAAGUGAAAUUCAUUUAUAAUAUUGAUAUUGUGGAUUUGAUUUACUAUGUUAAGAAUUUACUAACAAUUUCAAUAUUGAGCAGAAGUUGAAUUGUAAGCAAAUUGUAUGAAAGGAAGCGUGGAAUUUAUUGUAUAUAAUAUUGAUAGUGUUGUAAAUAUAUUUGAACUUAUAUCUAUUUUGAGAAUAGAUUUGUAUUUAAUACUUUAAAAUUGUAAGAUGUGGUAUGUAAUAAAAAUAUCAUUAGAAAUAUAUGAAAAUUGUGUUUGGCUUCUGAAUUUAAUUGAAUUUUUAAAUUAUGUACAUGUGCAGAGUUA